RNAcentral lists this long non-coding RNA (5494 nucleotides) under Vitis vinifera (wine grape). Its description in RNAcentral is "long non-coding RNA (VVIN_LNC000646)". Lineage: Eukaryota; Viridiplantae; Streptophyta; Magnoliopsida; Vitales; Vitaceae. The record is from RNAcentral.
UUUUUCAAACAGAGAGAGAGAGAGGCGCUCUGAUUCAUGGCUCCUACAUCAUAGGGUUUUGUAUGCGCCCCCAUGUUCAUUUUCAACCAGCAAGACUCCAACCAAGCAAAAUUAUAAGAUUUUUUCCCAAAGUCCCAACUGCCCAUUUCUCUCAUUUGAGUAUGGCCAUUGGCCACCACCUAAAGAUGUGGGAGGCUCAUAAUUAAUCAUGUGUGUGUACUUUUGUGGGGUCCUGCCCUUAGCUGUGUGUCACAAAUGUCCCAUUAAAGUAGGGUGCCCCCUCAAGUCCUCUGCUCUACACCACCACCACCCACCAACCAAAAGGUCAAAGAAUUUCUAUCUUCAACUUUUGGGUUAAUUCAUCAUUUUAAGCUAAAUAUAUUUAAUUAUUAUUAAUUUAAUUUUUUUUCAAUUUUAAAUUUUAAAUUAAUAAUGAUAUUCAUAUUUAAUUUUCAAGAAAUUAAUCAGUGGGGUUUCUAUUUUGAGCAAUCUUUUGUGUCAAGUUCGAUUGAAUAAUACCAAGAUUAGGUUUUAAUUAAUUAUAGUAUCUAGAAUUAAUGAUAAGAAAAUGGGUUAUGCUUCACUUUUUUGGAGUCACUGAUAUGUUAUUUGUUUAUUUGUGAGCUUUGGAUUUUAGUCUUGUCAGUUGUCUAGUCUUUGUCUUGUACUUGAAAAUUCAAAUAUUAAUGAUAGAUCAAGAAUUUUUUUAAGGAUAUGUUUGGCAUUUUUUUUAAAGUGUUCUAAUAAAUUAUUAAAAAAGCAUUUAUUAAUUAUUUUAAAAAAUAAAAUGUAAUUUAUAAAUUAAGAUAUGAAAAUAUCUCUAAAAUAUCAGCUCGUUUUGAACCCAAAAGGUCCUCAUGAUUUUUUCCCAACUGUAUAUAUUGUUUAACUUUCUCUCCAUUCGAUGAGGGUAUCAAAUAAAUCCUCAUCGAAUUCUAAGAUCAGUUUUGAUAUCAUUUACAAUAACUCUCAUCGGAUUCAAAGAUCAGUUCUAAUAUCAUUUAUAAUAACCCGCAUCUAAUUAUAUAUAUUGUCUAUUUUGGAUCUAAAAUACCAUAAUGAUUUUAAAACACAUCUACUUAGUAAAAAGGGUCUUGAAUACUUUACCUAAAACUUUGUCCCCUAAGGGAUAUCACAAAAUAAAUUUCAAUCAUUCCAUUUUGCAAUCCAUACAAAGUGAAAACAAGAGGAGAUCAAGUGGUAAUUCAAGAAAUUAAAAUUUAAAUAUCAAUAAUUACAAUAAAUGUGGGACCCAUAUACCAUAAAUGUAUUGACAAAUCAAGUGAAAUGUUUUAAAUGCUUUGAAUUUUAAAAGUUUUAGUUAAAGGACAGUUUUGAUAUAUUAAGCUUACUAAAGCCCUCCCCAAUAAUUAUUAAAAGAUAUCACCCUUUCUAAUAAUUGUUUUACCUAGCCUACCCUUUUGGGUAAUUCUCCCUUUUUUUUUUCCGUAAAAAUAAUGUUUUUUUAAAUAAAUAUUUAAAAUAGUUAAGGAUAUUUAUGUGAAAAUUAAGUUAUUUUUUAAAUAAAAAUAUGAAAAAUGUUAAAUUCAUAAAUAUGAGAGGUUAUUUCAACUUUUUUAACCUAUUCAUUCAAAUAUAAAAUGUAAAUUUCGAAUCAAUAUAUACUUAGAUUUUACUGUGGGGUUAUCACAAUGUUUGCACUAUUAAAAAACAAUUAUAAAAAAUUUAUACGCAACAAAAUAGUUUUUGAAAAUUAAUGUUUUUAGACUAAUAUAUAUUUUAUAUUUUUAAAUAUAAAAUAAUGUUUAUAUAUAACAUAUUAUUUAUUUUUAACUAUUUUUCAUAUUUGUGAAAUUAUAUUUUAAAAUAAUAUUUAAAACAUAACUAAAAAUAACUAAAAAAUCAUUUUAUUCGAAGACAUCAUAUUAUUUAAAAAUUAUUUUUGAAAACAAUUAUCAAAUAUAAUCUUAAUUUUUUAAAACACUCCUAAAAAUAACUAUCACUUAUUUUUAAGAAAAAUAGUUUAUACAAAAAUUUAAAUAUAAGAAAUAGUUUUCUACUUAAAUAUAAAAAUUUAAAUUUAAUAUAAAAAUACUUAAUUUAUUCUUUAUAAUUAUAUUUGAAGGUAUCUCUUUUUUUUUUUUAGGAAGUUUAUCAUGUUCACCAUAAAAAAUAAAAAUAAAAUAUGGUAAAAAUUAGGUUAAUAGAUGAAGUUAUAAACAAUGAGAUAAAAAUAUGAAACAAUGGAACUUGAUUGUGUAUAUGAUAUAUUUGAAUGGUCUUGUUUUUUUAGUAGACGUCGACCGAUAAAAAUAUCAAUAAUGAAAAAUAAGAUCGAAGUAUAAAAAGGUAAGACUAAGAUAUAAACUAAUGAAAUAUACACCACAUAUCGUGAUGGAUAGAUGAUUUAAUAUCGAGAAUCAUGACUUUUGUAUGGGAAAUUAAAUUCAAAUCGGGCAUAAAUGGCUUCUUUUUGGGUGUGAAAUUCAAGAAGUAUUCAAUUUCUAAUAACUUUUCCACCGGUAAGUUUUAAUAUGGGUACCUUCAUCCAACUUUACUCUCCCCAAUAACUUUCUGCACCCUUUACGUACCCCAUAUGAAUUUCAUAACUUGGUGGUUCAUUUCAUGUCAUGACCUCUCAUUAGUCAUUACAUUGGAAAUGAAAUCAAAAUUAGGCAUGAAAAAUGAUGUACAGGGGGCACUAAAAGACAAGAAGAAAUAUCUCAAUGUAGCUGUCCCAGGGUAUGGGGGUCCUUCCGUGACAAGGCCUUAUCAUUAUGUUGCCCCCAGUGGGUGGGGAGGGGAAUUGAGCCUCAAAUUUUGAUGUCUGCUCUGUUUGUUUGGUGAGAAAUAAAGUCGUGAACAAGAAAACCUUUCCUUCUUUGUAUUCAAAGUGGCUAUCAAAUAAGCAAGUAUUCAACCACUGGUUUUGUUGUGUGUACUUUGUCAAUUUUUGGAUAAAAAUGUUCCAAAUUUGUUGAAAGAUUAACCAAUUAAGCGAUCAAAUAGGAAUCGGAUCGAACCCUAAUAAUCAAAUUCGAAUUAAACGAGAUUAAGAUGUUAAAAAAAACCGAUACCAAUUAAUCAAAAACCAUGUAGAAGUGAAGGGGAGAAGGAAAAUGAUGGGGGGAGAUGUCAUUUUCUUUGCAAAAGAUGCAUGGUGGCAUCACCUCAUAGAUUGCAUGUGGCUCUCAACUCUUAAGAUUGUGACACUUCUCUUGGUAUGGAGGAGUCCUGUCCUGCCCAUGGAUUUUUUCCCCUUCAUCCCCACAUAUGAUGCAUACAUUCUAAGUGCCGACAAAGUAAAUUUUAGGGUCAUAUUAGCACUUUAAUAUUAUAUUUUUUUAAAAAUAAUUAUAUAAAUUAUGACAGUUCAUAUCAAAUAAAGGGAAAAAUUUUGAUGCUAUAUAAGUAUGUACUCCUUAUAAUUUUAUAAAUGCGUUUUAAAACCAUAAAGACCUUUUUGAAUUCAAAACGCACAAUUAAAAAUAGAUUCUUAUAAAAAUAUUUAUAUUAUAAUUGUAUUCGACUAUACCCCUAUACCAAAAUUCGGCUCAUACAACGUACCAUUUUCCCACAUCAAAAGAUAUUUUCUAGAAGCCAACCUGCAACUUGGACAACUGUUGUGCAUUUUUCAAACAGAGAGAGAGAGAGAGAGAGAGAGGCGCUCUGAUUCAUGGCUCCUGCAUCAUAGGGUUUUGGUAUGCGCCCCCAUGUUCAUUUUCAACCAGCAAGACUCCAACCAAGCAAAAUUAUAAGAUUUUUUCCCAAAGUCCCAACUGCCCAUUUCUCUCAUUUGAGUGUGGCCAUGGGCCACCGCCUAAAGAUGUGGGAGGCUCAUAAUUAAUCAUGUGUGUGUACUUUUGUGGGGUCCUGCCCUUAGCUGUGUGUCACAAAUGUCCCAUUAAAGUAGGGUGCCCGCUCAAGUCCUCUGCUCUACACCACCACCACCCACCAACCAAAAGGUCAAAGAAUUUCUAUCUUCAACUUUUGGGUUAAUUCAUCAUUUUAAGCUAAAUAUAUUUAAUUAUUAUUAAUUUAAUUUUUUUUCAAUUUUAAAUUUUAAAUUAAUAAUGAUAUUCAUAUUUAAUUUUCAAGAAAUUAAUCAGUGGGGUUUCUAUUUUGAGCAAUCUUUUGUGUCAAGUUCGAUUGAAUAAUACCAAGAUUAGGUUUUAAUUAAUUAUAGUAUCUAGAAUUAAUGAUAAGAAAAUGGGUUAUGCUUCACUUUUUUGGAGUCACGUAUAGUGAUAUGUUAUUUGUUUAUUUGUGAGCUUUGGAUUUUAGUCUUGUCAGUUGUCUAGUCUUUGUCUUGUACUUGAAAAUUCAAAUAUUAAUUAUUGAUCAAGAAUUUUUUAAGGAUAUGUUUGGCAUUUUUUUUAAAGGGUUCUAAUAAAUUAUUAAAAAAGCAUUUAUUAAUUAUUUUAGAAAAUAAAAUGUAAUUUAUAAAUUAAGAUAUGAAAAUAUCUCUAAAAUAUCAGCUCGUUUUGAACCUAAAAGGUCCUCAUGAUUUUUUCCCAACUGUAUAUAUUGUCUAACUUUCUCUCUAUUCGAUGAGGGUAUCAAAUAAACCCCUCAUCGAAUUCUAAGAUCAGUUCUGAUAUCAUUUAUAAUAACUCUCAUCGGAUUCAGAGAUCAGUUCUAAUAUCAUUUAUAAUAACCCGCAUCCAAUUAUACAUAUUGUCUGUUUUGGAUAUAAAAUGCCAUAAUGAUUUUAAAACACAUCUACUUAAUAAAAAGGGUCUUUGAAUACUUUACCUAAAACUUUGUCCCCUAAAGGAUAUCACAAAAUAAAUUUCAAUCAUUCCAUUUUGCAAUCCAUACAAAGUGAAAACAAGAGGAGAUCAAGUGGUGAUUCAAGAAAUUAAAAUUUCAUAAAAAAAUAUAUAUAAUAUUACCCACAUUUUAUACAUCUAUGAGACUAAAGCUAAUAAAAAUAUUACUCGAAAAAAACAAAAACAAUAAUAAAAACAAAAAUUGAUUAGUCCAAGGCAUUUGGACCAGCACAGGCUUUGAGGGCGGGACUCCAUAUCCACUGUACCAAGAACUUUCUCUUUCUCCUUCCAUUCAAAUUAAAUGUUCUUCCCUCUCUGUCCCUCAUCACUUGACCGAUAUACCCUCCUCCACCACCUGUUCCGUACAGCCCCUCACACAGAUCGCCGAUCUCCGUCGGGGCCGUGGGGUCUUCUCCGGCGUACCACGCGUUCACCAGCGGGUUCGAUGACAGCUCCGCCAGCUCGUGUCCGAUCACGCUGAUCAUGCCGUCGACGCCAACGUCCCUGUUCGGCGGGGACAGGGCGGACGGGCCGCCUCCUGUCAUGUACGCCGGCACGGCGAAGGGGUACGCGCAAACAUCGGGGCACUGCUUCCCGGAGUUCCCCACCCAGGCGUACGGGAGCGUGUAGCCGACCAUCGACGGGAAGGUGAAGUAGUGGAAGCCGCAGACGGCGCGGCAGAAAUCCUGCACGGCGACGUCCUCGGAGGUCAGAAUCAGGUAGAUUCCGUUCUUGUGGUCCACCGGGAACGGCGCGGCGCG